RNAcentral lists this transfer-messenger RNA (377 nucleotides) under Thermoleophilaceae bacterium. It matches the Rfam family "transfer-messenger RNA". From Rfam's summary of the family: Bacterial tmRNA, also known as 10Sa RNA or SsrA, is named for its dual tRNA and mRNA-like properties. Its role is to liberate the mRNA from a stalled ribosome. The record is from RNAcentral. Lineage: Bacteria; Bacillati; Actinomycetota; Thermoleophilia; Thermoleophilales; Thermoleophilaceae.
GGGGGCGAACCAGCUUCGACGUGGAGCAGAUCCGUCCCGAUGUGGCGAGUCGAGGACUCCGGGUUGGCCUCGUUAAAUGCUCCCGGAAACCAAUAAGUGCGGACUCUAAGAACCACGAGUUCGCCUUCGCCGCUUAGAUAGGCGAAGGAGUCGCGCCGGGCAGCCCGCGGCCCGGAGACGCGGCUUCAGAUAGCGGGCUCACCCCGGCGACAGGACCCUCGGUCGCCGGGGGACACCUCUAGGAGGGUAUGGCUCCGGGAACGUGCCCCGCGGAUGGACCGCACCGGACGCCGAGACAAAGACUCCGCGGGAACGCUCGUAGCACGCAUCGGGAAGGUGUUCCGCGGACGCCGGGGCAGUACCGGCCGCCUCCACUC